AACAACAACAACAAAAAAGCUAAAAAGGCCUGGCAUGUCCUAAAGAAGAUUCCAGCUGAGCUGCCAGCGUGCUCGCCCCAUGAGCCUCCGUGGUGACUGGCUUGCGGGUGGGAAGUCAAUGACUUAAACACAGCAUCUCCCUGUGCAAAGAAGUUAUCAGGAAAGAGAAUAAGACAGAAACUGCUCCAGGGCCCACGUGAUCACCUGCAAACCAGCCGGUUCCGUUCCAACGGGAAGGGCCUUGGCACUGCCCUCGUCUCCGAUGAAAAAUGAGCCCCAUUCGAUGACUGACCUUCUCACCAAGCGCGGCUUCCACGGAAACACACAGGCUGUCUCGGCCACGGCUGUCACCUCCUCAGUCGCUAGCCGUGGCUGGGGGGGCCUGGCCGCGGGCAGGGAGGGGGCGGACACUGAACAGCGCGGCUCCGUGCAGUGGGCGCCGCCGCCUGAGGGAGGCUUGGCCAGAGGCAGAGGCGAGUGUUGCUGUGACUGGCGACGGUCGUGUCGCUUUUGAGAGAAUCGACUGAGAACGCCCUCACUUGCUUGGGAGACUAAAGGGGGUGCCUCUCCCAGCCCUUCCUCAGGGUGGAUCGGGGUGGCCAGUCCACAGACCCUGGGGUCUCUGAGCAGAAGCGCAGCUGCGAGUCAGGCCGUGUGCAGAGUGGCCAGCGUCUGUCUGUCUGUCCAGGUCUCCGGGCCGGGCUCCGGGACGGUACCCCGCCUGCUCUAUCCCCUGCACAGCACUAGGCUGACUCCGGAGGGAAGACAAGCUGUGAAGGAAUUCUGGCAAAGUUACUUGCAAAGACAGAGACCCAUGGACACACCUGUUCCCGCAGAUUUGCUCGCUAACCAAGGCCCAAGGAGCCUCAGGAACUUAAAUCACUGCGCGCAAUGGAUGAGCAGAAACUCCACAUUCGUGUUCAUUCGUUUUAAUGAACAAUUCCCCUCUGCUUAUCUACACGGGCUUCCUGUCAGGGUCCCGACCACCUCAUCUUUGACUUCCCUAUACCAUCUGCUUUAUUUUUGCAGCCGAACAAUACAACCCAUCCCCAAACCCACCCGAGGGGCCCUUUAGGGAAAGGGAGGAAGCUGGGGUGACGUGGGAAGAAGAGGCCCUGUUAGCCACGGAGACUUGCCCACGAGGCAGGAGGGUCCUUUCGGAUGAUCAAAGCGUUCGUCAUAUUUUUCACCCCAGCACAGCACCGCGCAUUUGCCCAGCUUCCCAAGGUGACGCUAUCGCGGGGUUGGGGCGUCCGGAAUCAAGACAUUGGAGGGUCGGGAGUGAAACUGCCUCCACCAUCGAUGACCCCUGCGGUGCCGCCUUACAGGACGAGGAAGAGGCGCGUCUCUGGCGUCUGGGGUGCGGAGAGCUGCUGGCUACGGUUCUUGGAGAUGGUUUGCUCCCCAGCCCAUCGAAGACUGAGCAGUGGCACUGGAGUUGCUCGGCCUCUGAGGGUCCCACUUGGUCUACGCAACAAGGACAGCAGGUCAACCCCAGUGGAGGCCCCCGCGGCUCUGUCCUCAGGGCGAAUCUGUCCUUCUCCAGCUCGUCACAGGGGAAGCGCACCCUAGUGUGGAAGUCCUGGGUUCCAUCAGCAAGAAAAUGUUCACUUAUUUUUAAAAUAAAUUCACUCCCGCAACUCA
Myotis myotis is the source of this 1644-nucleotide long non-coding RNA. RefSeq lists it as uncharacterized. The transcript has 2 exons. The record is from RefSeq and is a predicted model, not a curated record. NCBI's taxonomy places the organism in Eukaryota, Metazoa, Chordata, Mammalia, Chiroptera, Vespertilionidae.